AAGACGCAAUUGGCCCAGUUGGCCCAAUUGUAGUCGGACGGCGACCAUGUGAGCCUCAGAAUUAUCACACCUCGCUUAACUUGGGAGGAGGAAGCCACUUUAAAAGGGAGAGCCACCCUUCCCCCAUUGGACUAGUCUUUUGGGGGCGAUUGAGCCUUUCCCUGAGUUGGGUGUGCUUAAUGAACUGUUGGGCUGCGGGCAACCCUAAUUUGUUGGUCCUCGGCCAACCCCACCUAGGCUGGAUGUAUCAUAUGGUAUCAAAGCUAGGGCCCAUUUUAAGAAGGUGGGAAUGAUGAGGACAUCCUCCACUAUUACCUGUUGGCAAAGACGCAAUUGGUCUAGUUGGCCCAAUUGUAGUAGGACGGUGACCGUGUGAGCCUCAGAAUUAUCCCACAUCGCUUAACUUGGGAGGAGGAAGCCACUUUAAAAGGGAGAGCCACCCUUCCCCAUUGGACUAGUUGUUUGGGGCGAUUGGGCCUUUCCCUGAGUUGGGUGUGCUUAAUGAACUGUUGGGCUCCGGGCAACCCUAACUUGUUGGGCCUCGGCCAACCCCACCUGGACUGGGUGUAUCAUCUGGUACCAAAGCUAGGGCCCAUUUUAAGAAGGUGGGAAUGAUGAGGACAUCCUCCACUAUUACUCGUUGGCAAAAGCGCAACUGGCCCAGUUGGCCCAAUUGUAGUCGGACGGUGACCGUGUGAGCCUCAGAAUUAUCCCACCUCACUUAACUUGGGAGGAGGAAGCCACUUUAAAAGGGAGAGACACCUUCCCCCAUUGGACUAGUCUUUUGGGGUGAUUGGGCCUUUCCCUGAGUUGUGUGUGCUUAAU
Molecule: long non-coding RNA, 825 nt
Filed under: Zea mays
Lineage: Eukaryota; Viridiplantae; Streptophyta; Magnoliopsida; Poales; Poaceae
Description: long non-coding RNA (ZMAY_LNC001045)
Source: RNAcentral